This 119-nucleotide ribosomal RNA is filed under the name Pteropus alecto (black flying fox). The record is from RNAcentral. Lineage: Eukaryota; Metazoa; Chordata; Mammalia; Chiroptera; Pteropodidae.
GUCUACGGCCAUGCCACUCUGAACAAACCUGAUCCCGUCUGAUCUCGGAAGCUAAGCAGGGUCGGGCCUGGUUAGUAUUUGGAUGGGAGACCACCUAGGAAGACCAGGUGCUGUAGACA